AUUAUGACGCUGGCGGUAUGCUUAACACAUGCAAGUCGAACGGUAACAGGCAAAGCUUGCUUUGCGCUGACGAGUGGCGGACGGGUGAGUAACGCGUGGGAAUCUGCCUUAUAGUGGGGGAUAGCCCGGAGAAAUCCGGAUUAAUACCGCAUACGCCCUACGGGGGAAAGUUGGGGAUCUUCGGACCUGACGCUAUUGGAUGAGCCCGCGUUAGAUUAGCUUGUUGGUGGGGUAAUGGCCUACCAAGGCAACGAUCUAUAGCUGGUCUGAGAGGACGAUCAGCCACACUGGGACUGAGACACGGCCCAGACUCCUACGGGAGGCAGCAGUGGGGAAUAUUGCACAAUGGGCGCAAGCCUGAUCCAGCAAUACCGCGUGUAUGAAGAAGGCCUGAGGGUUGUAAAGUACUUUCAAUUGUGACGAAAGAUUGAUGGUUAAUAACCAUCGAUUCUGACAUUAACUUUAGAAGAAGCACCGGCUAACCCUGUGCCAGCAGCCGCGGUAAUACAGGGGGUGCGAGCGUUAAUCGGAAUUACUGGGCGUAAAGCGUACGUAGGCGGAUAUUUAAGUCAGAUGUGAAAGCCCCGGGCUCAACCUGGGAACUGCAUUUGAAACUGGGUAUCUAGAGUUUGGUAGAGGCAGGUAGAAUUCCUAGUGUAGCGGUGAAAUGCGUAGAUAUUAGGAGGAAUAUCCAGUGGCGAAGGCGGCCUGCUGGACCAAAACUGACGCUGAGGUACGAAAGCGUGGGGAGCAAACGGGAUUAGAUACCCCGGUAGUCCACCGCCGUAAACGAUGUCAACUAGUCGUUGGGACCCUUGAGGUCUUAGUGACGCAGCUAAACGCGUGAAGUUGACCGCCUGGGGAGUACGGCCGCAAGGCUAAAACUCAAAUGAUGACGUU
RNAcentral lists this ribosomal RNA (900 nucleotides) under uncultured bacterium. RNAcentral's name for it is "bacterial SSU rRNA". It matches the Rfam family "Bacterial small subunit ribosomal RNA", at positions 28 to 917 of the family's 1533-position model. The record is from RNAcentral.